AAAAAAAAGAAACAAAAACAUGAAAGAUCAAUUAAUGAUAGUUCACCCUGGAAUAAAAAGGAUUGCCUAUUCAUAUUUUAAGAUUACUAGUUUUUUUUUCUUUUUUACUCUAUGUGGGCCCGAUGAGUUUUUUGUGCAUUUUGUACACUUUGUUUACAUUUUCUUUCUACACUAGGACAUAUUCAUUCGUUUGUGGGGAACCUCUUUAUUGGAUUGCUAUAUGGUGACAUGUGUGGUUCCAUUCUGCUUACCCAUAUGCUACAUUGGAACAAUGAAUGUAGCUUAGCAGUGCUUAUCAUUUAUGGAACUACUCUAUUAGACUCUUGGGCGAAACACUG
Molecule: non-coding RNA, 338 nt
Organism: Pelobates cultripes (western spadefoot toad)
Lineage: Eukaryota; Metazoa; Chordata; Amphibia; Anura; Pelobatidae
Source: the annotation of a GenBank genome assembly